Molecule: long non-coding RNA, 618 nt
Organism: Cyprinus carpio carpio
Lineage: Eukaryota; Metazoa; Chordata; Actinopteri; Cypriniformes; Cyprinidae
Source: Ensembl
CGGUUCUUUUCUUGGUUGAAUGUCCGCAUUUGUAAUUGUCAUUAUGUCUAGUAACUAUAAUGACCCGCGCAACUGUCAUUACGCGUGAUGUUUACGCCAAACGCGGUCCACGCGGUGUUUACUGACGUGUACUCACCAACACUGCUGGAUGCAAGAAUUAUUGUUGAAAAAUGAGUGUGUAACGCGUGACCCCUCAUUUCCCACCUCGCUGACACCCUCUUUUCUGCAUCUGAGCCUCAUCUUGCAGGAGAGGCAAUCCAAGCUUUUGCUAACUGCAGAUAUCGAAGAGGAAUCUUAAACGGGAGAAAUUCUAGUUAAAAAGAGCAAGAUGGAGAACUAUUGAUCCCUUAUCCCAAAGGUGUCCACCGUAUGCAGAUGUCCCAAAGGUGCACCAGAGAAGGCUCCAGCAUUUUGAAUGCAUCGCAACCUUUCAUACCUUUUCAACUGCAGGCGCAACACUUCAGCUAUUGAAGGUAAGUUUCCACACAAAUGGGGUCCUUCAGUUGGCCCUGACUGAACCUGGCAAUGGAGGGGCACCUUUAGAAUCUGCCGGCCCGGGCAUUGAAAGGAGAGAUGCGGUGCUCAAGUCAUGCAUCUUACACAGUAACUACAGUCACA